AGAUAAGAAAUGAUUAUCAUUUAUGAUUUCGGCUCAUACCUAGGUGCAUUUUUAGCACCCUUAUCUA
This 67-nucleotide transfer RNA is filed under the name Histioteuthis bonnellii (umbrella squid). RNAcentral's name for it is "tRNA-Arg". Lineage: Eukaryota; Metazoa; Mollusca; Cephalopoda; Oegopsida; Histioteuthidae. The record is from RNAcentral.